Molecule: unclassified non-coding RNA, 353 nt
Filed under: soil metagenome
Description: partial contains 5.8S ribosomal RNA, internal transcribed spacer 2, and large subunit ribosomal RNA
Rfam family: 5.8S ribosomal RNA (bases 1-120)
Source: RNAcentral
GAUGAAGAACGUAGCGAAUUGCGAUAAGUAAUGUGAAUUGCAGAAUUCAGUGAAUCAUCGAAUCUUUGAACGCAGCUUGCGCUCUCUGGUAUUCCGGAGAGCAUGCCUGUUUCAGUGUCAUGAAAUCUCAACCACUAGGGUUUCCUAAUGGAUUGGAUUUGGGCGUCUGCGAUCUCUGAUCGCUCGCCUUAAAAGAGUUAGCAAGUUUGACAUUAAUGUCUGGUGUAAUAAGUUUCACUGGGUCCAUUGUGUUGAAGCGUGCUUCUAAUCGUCCGCAAGGACAAUUACUUUGACUCUGGCCUGAAAUCAGGUAGGACUACCCGCUGAACUUAAGCAUAUCAAUAAGCGGAGGA